AAGCGAAAGUGAUAAGUAUCCCACCUGGGGAGUACGCACGCAAGUGUGAAACUCAAAGGAAUUGACGGGGGCCCGCACAAGCGGUGGAGCAUGUGGUUUAAUUCGAUGAUACGCGAGGAACCUUACCAAGGCUUAAAUGUAGUUUGACCGAUUUGGAAACAGAUCUUUCGCAAGACAAAUUACAAGGUGCUGCAUGGUUGUCGUCAGCUCGUGCCGUGAGGUGUCAGGUUAAGUCCUAUAACGAGCGCAACCCCUGUUGUUAGUUGCCAGCGAGUGAUGUCGGGAACUCUAACAAGACUGCCAGUGUAAACUGUGAGGAAGGUGGGGAUGACGUCAAAUCAUCACGGCCCUUACGCCUUGGGCCACACACGUGCUACAAUGGACGGUACGGAGAGCAGCCACUGGGUGACCAGGAGCGAAUCUACAAAACCGUUCUCAGUUCGGAUCGGAGUCUGCAACUUGACUCCGUGAAGCUGGAAUCGCUAGUAAUCGGAUAUCAGCCAUGAUCCGGUGAAUA
This 517-nucleotide ribosomal RNA is filed under the name uncultured Bacteroidota bacterium. Its description in RNAcentral is "bacterial SSU rRNA". It matches the Rfam family "Bacterial small subunit ribosomal RNA", at positions 849 to 1368 of the family's 1533-position model. The record is from RNAcentral. Lineage: Bacteria; Pseudomonadati; Bacteroidota.